RNAcentral lists this ribosomal RNA (379 nucleotides) under Escherichia coli. RNAcentral's name for it is "partial 23S ribosomal RNA". It matches the Rfam family "Bacterial large subunit ribosomal RNA", at positions 419 to 800 of the family's 2925-position model. Lineage: Bacteria; Pseudomonadati; Pseudomonadota; Gammaproteobacteria; Enterobacterales; Enterobacteriaceae. The record is from RNAcentral.
GGGACACGUGGUAUCCUGUCUGAAUAUGGGGGGACCAUCCUCCAAGGCUAAAUACUCCUGACUGACCGAUAGUGAACCAGUACCGUGAGGGAAAGGCGAAAAGAACCCCGGCGAGGGGAGUGAAAAAGAACCUGAAACCGUGUACGUACAAGCAGUGGGAGCACGCUUAGGCGUGUGACUGCGUACCUUUUGUAUAAUGGGUCAGCGACUUAUAUUCUGUAGCAAGGUUAACCGAAUAGGGGAGCCGAAGGGAAACCGAGUCUUAACUGGGCGUUAAGUUGCAGGGUAUAGACCCGAAACCCGGUGAUCUAGCCAUGGGCAGGUUGAAGGUUGGGUAACACUAACUGGAGGACCGAACCGACUAAUGUUGAAAAAUUAG